GACGAACGCUGGCGGCGUGCUUAACACAUGAAAGUCGAACGGAAAGGCCCUGCUUUUGUGGGGUGCUCGAGUGGCGAACGGGUGAGUAACACGUGAGUAACCUGCCCUUGACUUUGGGAUAACUUCAGGAAACUGGGGCUAAUACCGGAUAGGAGCUCCUGCUGCAUGGUGGGGGUUGGAAAGUUUCGGCGGUUGGGGAUGGACUCGCGGCUUAUCAGCUUGUUGGUGGGGUAGUGGCUUACCAAGGCUUUGACGGGUAGCCGGCCUGAGAGGGUGACCGGCCACAUUGGGACUGAGAUACGGCCCAGACUCCUACGGGAGGCAGCAGUGGGGAAUAUUGCACAAUGGGCGGAAGCCUGAUGCAGCAACGCCGCGUGCGGGAUGACGGCCUUCGGGUUGUAAACCGCCUUCGCCUGUGACGAAGCGUGAGUGACGGUAAUGGGUAAAGAAGCACCGGCUAACUACGUG
RNAcentral lists this ribosomal RNA (468 nucleotides) under uncultured bacterium. RNAcentral describes it as "partial 16S ribosomal RNA". It matches the Rfam family "Bacterial small subunit ribosomal RNA", at positions 28 to 507 of the family's 1533-position model. The record is from RNAcentral.